This 564-nucleotide ribosomal RNA is filed under the name Cladophialophora minourae. RNAcentral describes it as "eukaryotic LSU rRNA". The stretch from base 208 to 362 matches the Rfam family "5.8S ribosomal RNA". Lineage: Eukaryota; Fungi; Ascomycota; Eurotiomycetes; Chaetothyriales; Herpotrichiellaceae. The record is from RNAcentral.
AUCAUUAACAGAGUAGGUCUUCGAAGGCCCGACCUCCCACCCUUUGAUUACUAGACCUCUGUUGCUUCGGCGGACCCGUCCCAUAAAGACCGCCGGAGGACCGCCCAACCAGGCGGUCCUUUGGCCAGUGUUCGCCGACAGCCUCAUCAUCCCAAUUCUGGAAUAAUCGUGACAAUACUAAGUGAAUUUAUUCAAUUCAAAAGCAAAAACUUUCAACAACGGAUCUCUUGGUUCUGGCAUCGAUGAAGAACGCAGCGAAAUGCGAUAAGUAAUGCGAAUUGCAGAAUUCCAGUGAGUCAUCGAAUCUUUGAACGCACAUUGCGCCCUUUGGUAUUCCGAAGGGCAUGCCUGUUCGAGCGUCAUUAUCACCCCCCCUCAAGCCUCGUGCUUGGUGUUGGACGACUUGGCAGAAGGGGCACACCCUUCCGCCCGUCCUAAAGACAAUGACGGCAGCCUCGUGGAGCCCCCGGUACACUGAGCUUCUUGACUGAGCACGUAUCGGAUCAAGGGCGCCCCGGGCACGGUCCUCUCCCCCCUUACGGGGAAAUUCUCUCAAGGUUGACC